AAUUUGUCUCCAAAAGCAACUUAAAUUUUCUAUACUAUAGCUGUCAAAAUGCCAAAUCAUAUAUUUGCUUGUACUCAUCCACAAAGUGUACAUCAAGGCCUUCCUUGACAUUAGGAGCAAGCUCGUCAAAAUCUCUUCGAUUAGCUGAAGGGAAUAUUAUAGUUUUCACAUCACUUCGCCGUGCUGCUAUGGAUUUCUCCUUGACCCCGCCGAUAGGAAGAAUUUUUCCAGUUAGCGUGACUUCCCCGGUCAUUGCCAGGUAAGGUUUAACAGGCUUUUUCAUGGCAAGAGACAACAAGGAUGUUAUCAUGGUACAACCAGCACUAGGGCCAUCCUUAGGGGUAGAACCCGCAGGAACAUGAAGAUGAAGCUUACUAUUUGCAAAGAAGUGGUUAUCAGGCUCCUUCUCCAGCAAAAUGAUCCUGGCAACCGUAUGGGCAAUUUGGGCACUUUCUUUCAUA
RNAcentral lists this unclassified non-coding RNA (461 nucleotides) under Hevea brasiliensis (rubber tree). The record is from RNAcentral. Lineage: Eukaryota; Viridiplantae; Streptophyta; Magnoliopsida; Malpighiales; Euphorbiaceae.